AACGGUCUAUACCUGCGGUACCUGCGGAGGGAUCAUUAUUGAGAUUAUUUUGACUUUUGUCAAAGGUUCUCCACCCAUUGAUUUUAUACAAAUGUAUAAGAAUUUUAGCUUCGGUGAGACGAUUUGGGAAACCAAACGAUUGGUAGUGGUCAAUCGAGUAUUGAUCAGUAAACUAUUGAUCUGUGUUCACCGAUAGCAUAUAAACUCAAUAAAAUUUGUAUUUGUCUGAGACUAUAAUAA
Molecule: unclassified non-coding RNA, 240 nt
Filed under: soil metagenome
Description: partial contains 5.8S ribosomal RNA, internal transcribed spacer 2, and large subunit ribosomal RNA
Source: RNAcentral